CCGAGUUUACAACUCCCAAACCCCUGUGAACAUACCAUUAUCGUUGCCUCGGCGGUGCCCGCUUCGGCGGCCCGCCAGAGGACUCAAACCCUUGAAUUUUUAUAUUAUCUUCUGAGUACAUGAUUAAAUCAAUCA
RNAcentral lists this unclassified non-coding RNA (135 nucleotides) under uncultured Ilyonectria. Its description in RNAcentral is "sequence contains ITS1". Lineage: Eukaryota; Fungi; Ascomycota; Sordariomycetes; Hypocreales; Nectriaceae. The record is from RNAcentral.